AUGUAGGAUUGGAUUCAUGGCAGGUCUAAUCUCUGGGCCUCUCAUAAUGCCCCAUGCCAGAGCAAAUCGGGGCCCUGAACAAUUUCCUGGUCUCUGUGCUUGUACAUGGUGGGCACUGAAGCAGCUCACACAGUG
Molecule: small nucleolar RNA, 135 nt
Organism: Talpa occidentalis (Iberian mole)
Lineage: Eukaryota; Metazoa; Chordata; Mammalia; Eulipotyphla; Talpidae
Product: small nucleolar RNA SNORA42/SNORA80 family
Exons: 1
Source: RefSeq, a predicted model, not a curated record